Quercus robur (English oak) is the source of this 1835-nucleotide long non-coding RNA. RefSeq lists it as uncharacterized. NCBI's taxonomy places the organism in Eukaryota, Viridiplantae, Streptophyta, Magnoliopsida, Fagales, Fagaceae. The record is from RefSeq and is a predicted model, not a curated record. The transcript is spliced from 2 exons.
UAUAUCCUGUAUUGCUGUCAUUUUCAAAACAGUGAAGUAUUUCUCAUUUUUAUCAUAAUCAUUGCUCUAUUUUACAUCUUAGUUGUUGUUGUCUGCACUCCCGAUUUCUUGCAGUAAAGUAGAAAUUUUAGUACUGUAUUUGGAUUUGGAUGACAUGAAUUUGGAUUUGGAUUUGAGGGGGUCCAAAUCUAAAUCCUUUGUUUAGAUAACUUAAAAGAAUUGGAUUUGGAUUUGGCCCAAAUACAUCUUGGAUUUCAGGGUCCAAAUCCAUGGAUUUGAAAUACCCUCAAAAACCCAGGAAUUUAGAAAUCUCUCACUCUCACGCACACUGUUUCUCUCUGGGCUCUCCGUGUCUCUCUUCCUAGCCGUAACUCACAAACUCUUCUUCCCCCUCUCUCUCGGCAAGGCAACUAUAGCCAACUUGUCUGUGUGACCAAUGAACUCUAGCUAAAAUCACACUUCCUUGUUAUAGUCUUGUGGUGGAGUAGUGGAUGAUAGAGAUGGAUUAUAAGAUUACCAUUUAGAGCAGAAAAGGUAAUUAAAGAAGUUGAUGAGGCUGAGUGCAGCUAACAACCAAUAAAAAAGAUCAAGCCUAUCCUUGUUGAAGUCAUUUUCACUAAGCCAUCCACCACUUGAAGAACUUGAGGUAAUUUUGUUCACUAGAGAAACAAGGAGUGAGCUUAAAUGGAAGUGGGAAUGUGGAGGUUCCCCCAACAUUUGUGCUUUAAAGUCCACCCCUUGUCAUCUUUCAAUGAGUCUUCCCUAUACAAUCAAGGUGGGGCUUAUUGUGAAAUGAAUGAGCAAGAGCCAGAGACUGUGAGACUGCAAGGUAAUAAUGAUGGUUCUUCCCCUUCUAAUUCCAAUGCUGGGAAUUCUGUGCAUGAGAGUUGCUUUCCCUUCUUGAUGGCUGAUGGGGAAAACUUGUGGGAAAAUUAUGCUUUGAAACCAGUAAGUAAAAAAAAAAAAAAAGCACGUAGAGUUUGUUAAGUUGUUCUAAUUAUCUGGAUUUGGGAAGAAACUUUGAAGGGUGGGAAAAGGUACCUAGUUGAAUUGUUAAGAGGUAAGAGGUUUGAAAAUGCCUCUGGUACAAUGGACUUACAUUGUGUAAGAGCUAGCUGAUUGAAGAUUUAUGUAUAUUAGGACUUAGAAGCUGCACUUUUAAGAAUAAAAUAAUGGGUUUGUGUUUAUCUUAGAAAGCACAGACGCAGCUGGGAGGGUGCCACACCCAAGUCCGACGCGGCCCGAUGCGGUUGCCCAUGCAUCGGUGCCGCAUUUGAGUUUUUUUUUUUUUUUUUUUUUUUUUUUUUUUUUUUUUUUCUUAUUGCGUAAAGUAACAGUACAAAAGCUCCAACAUGAAAAAGGUAGAGGGGUAUCAAAUUGUAAAUUUUUUUUUUUUGGGGAGAAAAUAUAAGUUUCUAAGUGAUUUUUAAUAAAAACAAAUUAUUAAAUAAUUAGAGAUAUCGUAUUUAAAUUCCCACCUCAGAGGCAUAGUAAUGUGUUUCUUGCCUUCUUCUUUCUUUGUUUUGUGAAUUAAGGCAUAGUAAUGUGUUUUUUAAGAAUAUUUUAAUAGUAAAAAUAUAUAGAAAAUAUAAAUAAAAAUAUUUUUAAUAAUUUUUUAAUCGCCGAGUCCCGCCGCACCCGCAUCCUACUUUUUCAAAAAUUGUCAAGUCCCGCACCCGCCCCCACACUCGAGUCCCGAAACGUACCCAUGCUUCAUAGGUUUUAUCAGUGUAAUGGGGAAUGGAGGAAGCAAUUAAUAUUUUGCUCAAAUUAUUGGGUUAUGGUCUCAAUGUUCUGUAAGUUUUCCAUUUUGUGAUAAAUUUCCCUUCUGUGCA